RNAcentral lists this ribosomal RNA (489 nucleotides) under uncultured bacterium. RNAcentral's name for it is "partial 16S ribosomal RNA". It matches the Rfam family "Bacterial small subunit ribosomal RNA", at positions 30 to 506 of the family's 1533-position model. The record is from RNAcentral.
AUUGAACGCUGGCGGCAGGCCUAACGCAUGCAAGUCGAACGGUAACAGGAAGCAGCUUGCUGCUUCGCUGACGAGUGGCGGACGGGUGAGUAAUGUCUGGGAAGCUGCCUGAUGGAGGGGGAUAACUACUGGAAACGGUAGCUAAUACCGCAUAAUGUCGCAAGACCAAAGAGGGGGACCUUCGGGCCUCUUGCCAUCGGAUGUGCCCAGAUGGGAUUAGCUUGUUGGUGGGGUAACGGCUCACCAAGGCGACGAUCCCUAGCUGGUCUGAGAGGAUGACCAGCCACACUGGAACUGAGACACGGUCCAGACUCCUACGGGAGGCAGCAGUGGGGAAUAUUGCACAAUGGGCGCAAGCCUGAUGCAGCCAUGCCGCGUGUAUGAAGAAGGCCUUCGGGUUGUAAAGUACUUUCAGCGGGGAGGAAGGGAGUAAAGUUAAUACCUUUGCUCAUUGACGUUACCCGCAGAAGAAGCACCGGCUAACUCCGU